CUGUGCUUCAGGCUGGAAGCCCAGAGAGACUGUGACUGAACUCUGCCUCUUCUCUCCCUUCCUUUGGCUUUCUUCAGAAUGGGAAGCACAUGAUGGCCUGCUGGUCCCAGAAGAAUGAGAGAUCCACAGAACAGACCUGAAUGAAUUUGCUGGAAAGAGAAAAGAAACACCUGCCUCCAAAUCGAGAGGGCACUGACAGUCCAAAGAAGUCCAGGGCCUUCUUCAGAAGAACUGGCUGCUCUUACAGCUGAGAGAUCUCAGGCUGUGAACCGGCUUCAACCUGAGA
Molecule: long non-coding RNA, 286 nt
Organism: Fukomys damarensis (Damara mole-rat)
Lineage: Eukaryota; Metazoa; Chordata; Mammalia; Rodentia; Bathyergidae
Exons: 4
Source: RefSeq, a predicted model, not a curated record